AUGGUUGAUGCUGCCGUUCCAGCAGUUGUCAUCACAAGCUUGGAUGUUUCCAAUAUUCCUGUUGAACUUACAGAGGAUGUUUUUCCUGCAGAAGUGGUGCGCAAGGUAGUGCUUUCUACAGAAGUGGUACCAAGGGUAGUAGUUUCUGAAGCAGUGGUUCCCAGGGUGGUUCUUUCUUCAAAAGUUGUAGUAGUUUCUGCAGAAGUGAUGCCAAGGGUAGUAGAUUCAGCAGAAGUCGUGCCCAGGGUUGUGGUUUCUACAGAAGUGGUAGUAGUUUCUGCAGAAGUCGUGCCCAGGGUUGUGCUUUCUACAGAAUUAGAAGUGGUUUCUGCAGAAGUGAUGCCAAGGGUACUCGUUUCUGCAGAAGUUGUGCCCAGGGUUGUGCUUUCUGCAGAAGUGGUUGUAGUUUCGGCAGAAGUGAUGCCAAGGGUAGUAGUUUUUGCAGAAGUCGUGCCCAGGGUUGUGCUUUCUACAGAGGUGGUAGUAGUUUCUGCAGAAGUUGUGCGCAGGGUUGUGCUUUCUACAGAACUCGUAGUAGUUUCUGCACAAGUUGUGCCUAGGGUUGUUCUUUCUACAGAAAUGGUAGUAGUUUCUGCAGAAGUGAUGGCUAGGGUAGCCGUUUCUGCAGAAGUUGUGCCAAGGGUUGUGCUUUCUGCAGAAGUGGUAGCAAUUUCUGUGGAAGUGAUGCCAAGGGUAGCAGUUUCUGCAGAAGUUGUGCCCAGGGGUGUGCUUUCUACAGAAGUGGUAGUAGUUUCUGCAGAAGUUGUGCCUAGGGUUGUUCUUUCUACAGAAGUGGUAGUAGUUUCUGCAGAAGUGAUGCCAAGGAUAGCCGUUUCUGCAGAAGUUGUGCCCAGGGUUGUGCUUUCUGCAGAAGUUGUGCCCAGGGUUGUGCUUUCUGCAGAAGUUGUGCCCAGGGUUGUGCUUUCUACAGAAGUGGUAGUAGUUUCUGCAGAAGUUGUGCCCAGGGUUGUGCUUUCUACAGAAGUGGUAGUAGUUUCGGCAGAAGUGAUGCCAAGGGUAGUAGUUUCUGUAAAAGGAGUUUGACCCAUUGUGGUUUCAACUGCAGAUGUUGAGACAGGUGUAGUUAUGGUUGAUGCUGCCGUUCCAGCAGUUGUCAUCACAAGCUUGGAUGUUUCCAAGAUUCCUGUUGAACUUACAGAGGAUGUUGUUCCUGCAGAAGUGGUGCGCAAGGUUGUGCUUUCUACAGAAGUGGCACCAAGGGUAGUAGUUUCUGCAGCAGUGGUUCCUAGGGUGGUUCUUUCUUCAGAAGCUGUAGUAGUUUCUGCAGAAGUCGUGCCUAGGGUUGUUCUUUCUACAGAAGUGGUAGUAGUUUCUCCAGAAGUCGUGCCCAGGGUUGUGCUUUCUCCAGAAGUAGAAAUGGUUUCUGCAGAAGUGAUGCCAAGGGCAGUAGUUUCUGCAGAAGUCGUGCCCAGGGUUGUGCUUUCUAUAGAAGUAGAAAUGGUUUCGGCAGAAGUGAUGCCAAGGGUAGUAGAUUCAGCAGAGGUUGUGCCCAAGGUUGUGCUUUCUACAGAAGUGGUAGUAGUUUCUGCAGAAGUCAUGCCCAGGGUUGUGCUUUCUACAGAAGUAGAAAUGGUUUCUGCAGAAGUGAUGCCAAGGGUAGUAGAUUCAGCAGAGGUUGUGCCCAGGCUUGUGGUUUCUACAGAAGUGGUGGUAGUUUCUCCAGAAGUCGUGCCCAGGGUUGUGCUUUCUACAGAAGUAGAAGUGGUUUUUGCAUAAGUGAUGCCAAGGGUAGUAGAUUCAGCAGAGGUUGUGCCCAAGGUUGUACUUCCUACAAAAGGGGUGUCAAGUGAGGUACUUGCUGCAGAAAUGCCCUCAAGCGUACUAAUUUCUGUAAAAUGGGUAGUUUGAGCCAAUGUGGUUUCAACAGCAGAUGUUAAGGCAGGGGUAGUUAAGCUGGAUGCCAUUGUCUGAGCAGUUGUCAUUACAAGCAUGGAUGUUUCCAAGAUUCCUGUUGAACUUAUAGAGGAUGUUGUUUCUGCAGAAGUUGUGCCCAGGGUUGUGCUUUCUACAGAAGUGGCUCCAAGGGUAGAAGGUCCUGCAGAAGUGGUUCUCUGGGUUGUGCUUUCAACAGAAGUGAUGCCAAGGGUAGUAGUUUCUGAAGGAGCGCUAGUUUGAUUCAUUGUUGAUUCAAUAGCAGAUGUUAAGCCAGGCUUGGUUAAAGCUGCAGUUGUUUUUCCAGCAGUGGUCAUUACUGGUGUCAACGUUUCCAAUACUAUUCCUGUUGAACUAACUAAGGAUGUAUUGUCAGCAGAAGAGGUGACAAAGUUAGUAGUUUCUUCAGCAGUGGUGGCAAGGGUUGCAGUCUCUGUGGUAGUUUUAGCCAUUGUGGUUUCAACAGCAAACGUUGCGGCAGGUGUUGGGUCAGGUGAGAUUGUUGCUCCAACAGUUGUCAUUACAUUUGUGGAUGCUCCUAAAAUAUUUAUUGUUGAACUAAUGGAGGGCAUUAUUUCAGCAGUAUUAGUUCUCGGAGAAGUAGUUUCUAUGGAAGUGGUGUCUAGAAAAGUAGUUUCAGCAGAAGUUGUUAUCAGAGCUAUUGUGGUUCCAGCAACAGAUGUUAAAUAAGGCAUGGUCUCAGGUAAGGUUGUUGCUCCAGCAGUUGUCAUAACAGGUGUGAAUGUUUUCAAUAUAAUUUCUGUUGAGCUAACUGAGUGAGUUGUUUCUGCAGAACUCAAAGGAGUCAAUGGGAUAUCCGAGAAACCCCAUUCAGAGUCAUGUCUUGUGCUUUUCAAUGUAGACUGGCCUGUUUGAGUGGGAAUACUUGAUGAAAGUGUUCUUUGGGUAGUUUUAAGGUUUUUUUCAAGUUCCCCACAUGGAACAGUGGGUGUGGAAAGGUCAAAAUCGGUCCCAAACUCUACAUCGGCAUCAACAACAGGAGUUGCAGUUUUGGUGAUCCUGUCUGGUUGUGUAGCUGCAUUUGAGGAUUCCCCUUCUUUGGUAGUACAAAGAGUUAUAUCUGGUGGCCUGAAGGGAUCUACGUUUGCCCAUGAAGUGGGAUUAGGAUGUAUAGGUGUGCUGGAUGGAAGUAUCCUUUGGGUAGUUUUAGGAGUUUCUUCAAAUUCCCCACAUGGAACAGUGGGUUUGACAUAAAAAUCGGUCCCAAAUUCUGCAUCAGCAUCAACAACAGAAGUUACAGUUUUGGUCAUUCCACUUGACUGUGUAGCAGCACUUGAGGUUUCUGCUUUCUGGGUUGUUCCAAUAGUUAUCUCAGGUGACCUAAAGGGAUUUGUGUUUGUCCAUGUACUGGGGUCUGAAAAUGUUGUUGUGCUGGAUGCAAGCAUCAUUUGGGUCGUUUUAGGUGUUUUUUCAAAUUCCCCACAAGGAACAGUGGGUUUGACUUCAAAGUCCAAAAGACCUAAAUUUGCCCCAACAGUAGGUACUGAAUCAUAUUCCCGAAUAAAAUCAAAAGGGUUUUGUCUUCGUUUUCUGAU
Cyprinus carpio (common carp) is the source of this 3449-nucleotide long non-coding RNA. The record is from Ensembl. NCBI's taxonomy places the organism in Eukaryota, Metazoa, Chordata, Actinopteri, Cypriniformes, Cyprinidae.